UACCUGCAGCUCGAGUGGUAACCGCUAUUAUUGGGCCUAAAGCGUCCGUAGCCGGUUUGGUAAAUAUCUGGGUAAAUCGUGAGGCUUAACUUCACGAAUUUCGGAUAGACUGCCAGACUUGGGAUCGGGGGAGGUCAGAGGUACUCCAGGGGUAGCGGUGAAAUGUUGUAAUCCUUGGAGGACCACCGGUAGCGAAGGCGUCUGACUAGAACGAGUCCGACGGUGAGGGACGAAGCCCUGGGGCGCAAACCGGAUUAGAUACCCGGGUAGUCCAGGGUGUAAACGAUGUGGGCUUUGUAUUGGAGGUCCCACGUGGGCGUCCAGUGCAGAAGAGAAGUUGUUAAGCCCACCGCCUGGGAAGUACGGUCGCAAGGCUGAAACUUAAAGGAAUUGGCGGGGGAGCACAGCAACGGGAGGAGCGGUGCGGUUU
This 430-nucleotide ribosomal RNA is filed under the name uncultured archaeon. RNAcentral's name for it is "bacterial SSU rRNA". It matches the Rfam family "Archaeal small subunit ribosomal RNA", at positions 474 to 903 of the family's 1478-position model. The record is from RNAcentral.